RNAcentral lists this unclassified non-coding RNA (462 nucleotides) under Bombus terrestris (buff-tailed bumblebee). Its description in RNAcentral is "misc RNA ENSBTSG00005038093.1". Lineage: Eukaryota; Metazoa; Arthropoda; Insecta; Hymenoptera; Apidae. The record is from RNAcentral.
CAAUAUAAGAUAUAUUUUGCUCAUUGUGGAUUUAUAUGUCCAUAUUUGCUGUAUAUUAAAUCGUGUAUAUUUUAUAUUACCUUCUUGUUAUUAGGUUAUUAGUUGUGUAACUCCAGUUACUGAUCUAUGGAAAGUGGUGAGACGUCUUCACGAGAUACAAUUUCAUUCGUUUUCUUCCCUUGUAUUGGCACGCUGUGAAUGGUGUCGACUUCCAGAUGAGGUUUGUGCAUCUUGAUUAUUAUGCGUUUAAUGAUAGAUACGGAGGUAUCUUUGUCAGAGGUUCCCAUGCGGACUGUCUCGUGCAAGAAGAAGAAGGAUUGUAAAGAAUCCGUAAGUGGCCCCAGAAGACGCAAUCAUCGUGUGAGGUGUUGUCGGCAGGAACGAAGAAUCGAAGUUGUUGAAGGAUUCUUGAAACCCUACUUCCGAUGGCAAACCGAGCAAUUCACAACUACGUUUCCACAA